CGCGUAGGUGGUUGUGUAAGUCAGAUGUGAAAUCCCGAGGCUCAACCUCGGAACUGCAUCUGAUACUGCAUGACUCGAGUGCAGCAGAGGGAAACGGAAUUCCUGGUGUAGAGGUGAAAUUCGUAGAUAUCAGGAGGAACACCGGUGGCGAAGGCGGUUUCCUGGGCUGACACUGACACUGAGGCGCGAAAGCGUGGGUAGCAAACAGGAUUAGAUACCCUGGUAGUCCACGCUGUAAACGGUGAAUACUGGGUGUGGGAGGUGUAAUGCCUUCUGUGCCGAAGCUAACGCGUUAAGUAUUCCGCCUGGGGAGUACGGCCGCAAGGUUGAA
Molecule: ribosomal RNA, 331 nt
Filed under: uncultured bacterium
Lineage: Bacteria
Description: bacterial SSU rRNA
Rfam family: Bacterial small subunit ribosomal RNA
Source: RNAcentral